AGAAUCAACGCUGGCGGCGUGCCUAACACAUGCAAGUCGAACGCGAAAGCCCCGAAAGGGGCAAGUAGAGUGGCAAACGGGUGAGUAACACGUGGGUGACCUGCCUUCGAGCGGGGGAUAACGUCCCGAAAGGGACGCUAAUACCGCAUAACAUCCUGCCUUUGAAGAGGUGGAGAUCAAAGGCUGGGGAUCGCAAGACCCGGCACUUGAAGAGGGGCCCGCGUCUGAUUAGCUAGUUGGUGGGUAACGGCCUACCAAGGCAACGAUCA
RNAcentral lists this ribosomal RNA (269 nucleotides) under uncultured soil bacterium. RNAcentral's name for it is "partial 16S ribosomal RNA". It matches the Rfam family "Bacterial small subunit ribosomal RNA", at positions 26 to 282 of the family's 1533-position model. The record is from RNAcentral.